AUUGAACGCUGGCGGCAUGCCUUACACAUGCAAGUCGAACGGAUUCUUGGGGCUUGCUCCAAGAGUUAGUGGCGAACGGGUGAGUAAUGCAUCGGAACGUGCCCAAUCGUGGGGGAUAACGUAGCGAAAGUUACGCUAAUACCGCAUACGUCCUGAGGGAGAAAGCAGGGGACUCGCAAGAGCCUUGCGCGAAUGGAGCGGCCGAUGUCGGAUUAGCUAGUUGGCGGGGUAAAAGCCCACCAAGGCGACGAUCCGUAGCUGGUCUGAGAGGACGACCAGCCACACUGGGACUGAGACACGGCCCAGACUCCUACGGGAGGCAGCAGUGGGGAAUUUUGGACAAUGGGCGAAAGCCUGAUCCAGCCAUGCCGCGUGAGUGAAGAAGGCCUGGUGU
Molecule: ribosomal RNA, 394 nt
Filed under: uncultured bacterium
Lineage: Bacteria
Description: bacterial SSU rRNA
Rfam family: Bacterial small subunit ribosomal RNA
Source: RNAcentral